AACGAACGCUGGCGGCAUGCCUAACACAUGCGAGUCGAACGAGACCUUCGGGUCUAGUGGCGCACGGGUGCGUAACGCGUGGGAACCUGCCCUUAGGUUCGGAAUAACUCCCCGAAAGGGGUGCUAAUACCGGAUAAUAUCUUCGGACCAAAGAUUUAUCGCCUUUGGAUGGGCCCGCGUUGGAUUAGCUAGUUGGUAGGGUAAAAGCCUACCAAGGCGACGAUCCAUAGCUGGUCUGAGAGGAUGAUCAGCCACACUGGGACUGAGACACGGCACAGACUCCUACGGGAGGCAGCAGUGGGGAAUAUUGGACAAUGGGCGAAAGCCUGAUCCAGCAAUGCCGCGUGAGUGAUGAAGGCCUUAGGGUUGUAAAGCUCUUUUACCCGGGAUGAUAAUGACAGUACCGGGAGAAUAAGCUCCGGCUAACUCCGUG
Molecule: ribosomal RNA, 433 nt
Filed under: uncultured bacterium
Lineage: Bacteria
Description: partial 16S ribosomal RNA
Rfam family: Bacterial small subunit ribosomal RNA
Source: RNAcentral